GGACUUCUGACCCAACGGAUAAGGCGCCUGACCACGGAUCAGGAGAUUCCAGGUUCGAGUCCUGGCAGGGUCG
RNAcentral lists this transfer RNA (73 nucleotides) under Nematostella vectensis (starlet sea anemone). It matches the Rfam family "tRNA". From Rfam's summary of the family: Transfer RNA (tRNA) molecules are approximately 80 nucleotides in length. The record is from Rfam by way of RNAcentral. Lineage: Eukaryota; Metazoa; Cnidaria; Anthozoa; Actiniaria; Edwardsiidae.